RNAcentral lists this ribosomal RNA (466 nucleotides) under uncultured bacterium. RNAcentral describes it as "partial 16S ribosomal RNA". It matches the Rfam family "Bacterial small subunit ribosomal RNA", at positions 28 to 507 of the family's 1533-position model. The record is from RNAcentral.
GAUGAACGCUGGCGGCGUGCUUAACACAUGCAAGUCGAACGGAAAGGCUCCUGCUUGCAGGGGUACUCGAGUGGCGAACGGGUGAGUAACACGUGGGUGAUCUGCCCUGCACUUCGGGAUAAGCCUGGGAAACUGGGUCUAAUACCGGAUAGGACGAUGGUUUGGAUGCCAUUGUGGAAAGUUUUUUCGGUUUGGGAUGGGCGCGCGGCCUAUUAGCUUGUUGGUGGGGUAAUGGCCUACCAAGGCGUCGACGGGUAGCCGGCCUGAGAGGGUGUACGGCCACAUUGGGACUGAGAUACGGCCCAGACUCCUACGGGAGGCAGCAGUGGGGAAUAUUGCACAAUGGGCGCAAGCCUGAUGCAGCGACGCCGCGUGGGGGAUGACGGCCUUCGGGUUGUAAACUCCUUUCGCUAGGGACGAAGCGCAAGUGACGGUACCUGGAGAAGAAGCACCGGCUAACUACGUG